RNAcentral lists this ribosomal RNA (250 nucleotides) under uncultured bacterium. Its description in RNAcentral is "partial 16S ribosomal RNA". It matches the Rfam family "Bacterial small subunit ribosomal RNA", at positions 524 to 773 of the family's 1533-position model. The record is from RNAcentral.
UACGAAGGGGGCUAGCGUUGUUCGGAAUUACUGGGCGUAAAGCGCACGUAGGCGGGUUAUUAAGUCAGGGGUGAAAUCCCGGAGCUCAACUCCGGAACUGCCUUUGAUACUGGUAAUCUAGAGAUCGGAAGAGGUUAGUGGAAUUCCCAGUGUAGAGGUGAAAUUCGUAGAUAUUGGGAAGAACACCAGUGGCGAAGGCGGCUAACUGGUCCGAUACUGACGCUGAGGUGCGAAAGCGUGGGGAGCAAAC